UCCUGGUCUCUCCUAGGCUGUCACCGAUCUGGGCUGGUCGCGACCUACGCUGAUCCAGGAAAAGGCCAUCCCACUGGCCCUAGAAGGGAAGGAUCUCCUGGCUCGGGCCCGCACGGGCUCCGGGAAGACGGCCGCUUAUGCUAUUCCGAUGCUGCAGCUGUUGCUCCAUAGGAAGGCGACAGGUCCGGUGGUAGAACAGGCAGUGAGAGGCCUUGUUCUUGUUCCUACCAAGGAGCUGGCACGGCAGGCACAGUCCAUGAUUCAGCAGCUGGCUACCUACUGUGCUCGGGAUGUCCGAGUGGCCAAUGUCUCAGCUGCUGAAGACUCAGCCUCUCAGAGAGCUGUGCUGAUGGAGAAGCCAGAUGUGGUAGUGGGGACCCCAUCUCGCAUAUUAAGCCACUUGCAGCAAGACAGCCUGAAACUUCGUGACUCCCUGGAGCUUUUGGUGGUGGACGAAGCUGAUCUUCUUUUUUCCUUUGGCUUUGAAGAAGAGCUCAAGAGUCUCCUCUGUCACUUGCCCCGGAUUUACCAGGCUUUUCUCAUGUCGGCUACUUUUAACGAGGACGUACAAGCACUCAAGGAGCUGGUAUUACAUAACCCGGUUACCCUUAAGUUACAGGAGUCCCAGCUGCCUGGGCCAGACCAGUUACAGCAGUUUCAGGUGGUCUGUGAGACUGAGGAAGACAAAUUCCUCCUGCUGUAUGCCCUGCUCAAGCUGUCAUUGAUUCGGGGCAAGUCUUUGCUCUUUGUCAACACUCUAGAGCGGAGUUACCGGCUACGCCUGUUCCUGGAGCAGUUCAGCAUCCCCACCUGUGUGCUCAAUGGAGAGCUUCCACUGCGCUCCAGGUGCCACAUCAUCUCACAGUUCAACCAAGGCUUCUACGACUGUGUCAUAGCAACUGAUGCUGAAGUCCUGGGGGCCCCGGUCAAGGGCAAGCGUCGGGGCCGAGGGCCCAAAGGGGACAAGGCCUCUGAUCUGGAGGCAGGUGUGGCCCGGGGCAUAGACUUCCACCAUGUGUCUGCUGUGCUCAACUUUGAUCUUCCCCCAACCCCUGAGGCCUACAUCCAUCGAGCUGGCAGGACAGCACGCGCUAACAACCCAGGCAUAGUCUUAACCUUUGUGCUGCCCACGGAGCAGUCCCACUUAGGCAAGAUUGAGGAGCUUCUUAGUGGAGAGAACAGGGGCCCCAUUCUGCUCCCCUACCAGUUCCAGAUGGAGGAGAUCGAGGGCUUCCGCUAUCGCUGCAGGGAUGCCAUGCGCUCAGUGACUAAGCAGGCCAUUCGGGAGGCAAGAUUGAAGGAGAUCAAGGAGGAGCUUCUGCACUCUGAGAAGCUUAAGACAUACUUUGAAGACAACCCUAGGGACCUCCAGCUGCUGCGGCAUGACCUACCUUUGCACCCCGCAGUGGUGAAGCCCCACCUGGGCCAUGUUCCUGACUAUCUGGUUCCUCCUGCUCUCCGUGGCCUGGUGCGCCCUCACAAGAAGCGGAAGAAGCUGUCUUCCUCUUGUAGGAAGGCCAAGAGAGCGAAGUCCCAGAACCCACUGCGCAGCUUCAAGCACAAAGGAAAGAAAUUCAGACCCACAGCCAAGCCCUCCUGAGGUUGUUGAGCCUCUCUGGAGCUGAGCACAUUGUGGAGCACGGGCUUACACCCUUCGUGGACAGGCGAGGCUCUGGUGCUUACUGCACAGCCUGAACAGACAAUUCUGGGGCCGGCAGUGCUGGGCCCUUUAGCUCCUUGGCACUUCCAACCUGGCAUCUUGCCCCUUGACAACAGAAUAAAA
RNAcentral lists this small RNA (1783 nucleotides) under Pongo abelii (Sumatran orangutan). RNAcentral's name for it is "processed transcript". The record is from RNAcentral. Lineage: Eukaryota; Metazoa; Chordata; Mammalia; Primates; Hominidae.